AUUGAACGCUGGCGGCAGGCUUAACACAUGCAAGUCGAGCGGUAGCACAGGGGAGCUUGCUCCCUGGGUGACGAGCGGCGGACGGGUGAGUAAUGUCUGGGAAACUGCCUGAUGGAGGGGGAUAACUACUGGAAACGGUAGCUAAUACCGCAUAACGUCGCAAGACCAAAGAGGGGGACCUUCGGGCCUCUUGCCAUCAGAUGUGCCCAGAUGGGAUUAGCUAGUAGGUGGGGUAAUGGCUCACCUAGGCGACGAUCCCUAGCUGGUCUGAGAGGAUGACCAGCCACACUGGAACGGAGACAAGGUCCAGACUCCUAAGGGAGGCAGCAGUGGGGAAAAUUGCAAAAUGGGCGCAAGCCUGAUGCAGCCAUGCCGGGUGUGUGAAGAAGGCCUUCGGGUUGGAAAGCACUUUCAGCGAGGAGGAAGGUGGUGAGCUUAAUACGUUCAUCAAUUGACGUUACUCGCAGAAGAAGCACCGGCUAACUCCGUG
RNAcentral lists this ribosomal RNA (490 nucleotides) under uncultured bacterium. RNAcentral's name for it is "partial 16S ribosomal RNA". It matches the Rfam family "Bacterial small subunit ribosomal RNA", at positions 30 to 507 of the family's 1533-position model. The record is from RNAcentral.